RNAcentral lists this transfer RNA (83 nucleotides) under bacterium. It matches the Rfam family "tRNA". From Rfam's summary of the family: Transfer RNA (tRNA) molecules are approximately 80 nucleotides in length. Their secondary structure includes four short double-helical elements and three loops (D, anti-codon, and T loops). The record is from Rfam by way of RNAcentral.
GCAAGGGUGGCCGAGCGGUUAAUGGCAGCAGACUGUAAAUCUGCCGAGGUGACUCUACGGCGGUUCGAAUCCGUCCCCUUGCA